GAUGAACGCUGGCGGCGUGCUUAACACAUGCAAGUCGAACGAAGCAUUUAGAACGGAUUACUUCGGUUUGAAGUUCUUUAUGACUGAGUGGCGGACGGGUGAGUAACGCGUGGGUAACCUGCCUUGUACUGGGGGAUAGCAGCUGGAAACGGCUGGUAAUACCGCAUAAGCGCACAAUGUUGCAUGACAUGGUGUGAAAAACUCCGGUGGUAUAAGAUGGACCCGCGUCUGAUUAGCUAGUUGGUGAGAUAACAGCCCACCAAGGCAACGAUCAGUAGCCGACCUGAGAGGGUGACCGGCCACAUUGGGACUGAGACACGGCCCAGACUCCUACGGGAGGCAGCAGUGGGGAAUAUUGCACAAUGGAGGAAACUCUGAUGCAGCGACGCCGCGUGAGUGAAGAAGUAAUUCGUUAUGUAAAGCUCUAUCAGCAGGGAAGAUAGUGAUGGUACCUGACUAAGAAGCUCCGGCUAAAUACGUGCCAGCAGCCGCAGUAA
This 497-nucleotide ribosomal RNA is filed under the name uncultured bacterium. Its description in RNAcentral is "partial 16S ribosomal RNA". It matches the Rfam family "Bacterial small subunit ribosomal RNA", at positions 28 to 523 of the family's 1533-position model. The record is from RNAcentral.